Molecule: long non-coding RNA, 599 nt
Organism: Xenopus tropicalis (tropical clawed frog)
Lineage: Eukaryota; Metazoa; Chordata; Amphibia; Anura; Pipidae
Exons: 3
Source: RefSeq, a predicted model, not a curated record
UUAAAGAUCUUUGCACCAAGUUGUCAAGCCGGUAUCUACAGGGUUCCCUGACCUUUCUUAGUUCUGACACCUUGGCCUUCAGUUCGUGCAUCACGGGGCCUUGCAAGGCCAGGCUAGUAUGCGGUAAGAAGACGUCGGCAUCAUUUCCUAACAAGCAGCAGGAGCCGCAUACAGUCAACUCCUACAUUCAGAGCGCCAUCUGCUGCUCAGUGCCGGAAGUGAAAAACAGAACAAACAAGGAGAAGCCGCAUAACAUCUAGGCAGCUUCCUGUUCUGUAUAAGCACUUCACUUGAACUUCGCCAGGUGUUUGAUGUCAUUACCUCUCAGAAGAUUAAAGCGCAACUAAAAAGUGGGCGUCCAACAUGGCAAUGACCCCAAACAUUUCAGUAAAUCCACCAAGAGAUGGAAUGACCUAGAAAACUCUGGAUCUAAAGCCCAUCAAGCCUGCUCUUCAUUAGAAUGAUGGGAAUGUCUGAUGUAGAAAUCCUUGACCUUCAACCUAAAGAAAAUUCUAAUCCUAAUGAAAUCAGAGAUGUUCAUUAUAUGGCCCUUAGUCUUCACAAGUUGAAUUUACAAUAAUAAAAUAAUAAUAACUGAA